CUAAUCUGAUCCCUACCGAGAUGUUCAGGUUCCGAUCUGUUGAUCAACUCAUGUCGUUAGCUAAUACUAAUGUUGAGCUUCCACGUAUGUCAUCAUCUGUACUCCGUCCGUUAUAAGUUAACGUUAGUAUUCAUAGAUCUUAUACUAGAUAACCUUUUUUUACAGACAUCAUUGGUGAGGUUUCCGAUAUCAGGACAACAUACAAUGAUCACACUCAGACAACUCAAUGAGUGAUGGUUAACCAGAGUAGAUAAGUAAUUUCUACAGGUGCUAAGGUGGUUUUGGCGAUCAAUAUUAGCCCUAUGUUGGUUGGAGGUGAGCUGCUACGCCAUGUUAAGCUUUUUAAUAUAUAGUCCCGAUCUAACCUUCUACUUAUACUAUGUUUUACAAAUUCUCUGAGCAUCAAACGACUGUCAGUAUAGAAUGUUGAUGAUUCCUGGUUACUUAUUAUAUAUUGAUUGAUGGUUUCGGCAUUCGACGAGUUACUGAUUAAUAAGUUAGGUUAGACUGUUUUUUCUUUCUUUUUUCGGACCAAGUUAGGUUAGACUAUAGUUUAAACAAUCUCUUUUUUUUUUAGUUUAAACAAUAUCAUUCCAUCAACUACCUCGACCAUUAGAGAAUGUUGAUGAUUCCUGGUUCUGUAUUAUAUAUAGCUGGGUUCUGCUGAUUAAUAAGUUAUGAUCUCUGUUGUAUGCUCGGUGUAAAUACAAGGUUGGCUCUCUCUCUCUCAACGCUACCUCAGGCACUCAUUUCUACUUUGACAAGGAGUGGCACAAGCAGUGCUUAACUGCAGAAGGUUUGUGAGAGUAAUGAAGGACCAUCAGAGGUUGCAUUGCUGCUGCCAUGGCUGAUGGAGAAAGAGCUACUGUUUAUGAUUCAGUUGAGACCCCUGUUGAUGCCAGUAACACUGGAGAGGAAGAAAUAGAUUAAGAGGAGAGGAGUUCUGCCAAGAAGACACGCAAAGACUAGACAGUCCGGUGGACACUCUCACUGUUAUGUUGCAUUACAGGCUUUUUCAAUUUUCACAUUACCAAUAACUACAACAACUUCUCAGUGAAAACCAUGUUCUGGUUUUUAUAUUUUUAUGUGUAUUUCAAAUUUCAACUAGACUCUGCAUUCUCAAGUUAAUAAAUUUAUUUUCGUUUCUUGCCUAUUCCUUAUUUUUUGGUAUAAUGACUCAUGAACUAUCACUUGGCCUUAAUUUUGUCAUAUAUUUGUUGCUCUCAUUACGUAUUGCACUCCAUUAACCCGAUGUCAAAGUUAAAUGCCCACAUGGAUCUAACAUUUGAAUAGUAUAUUAUUCCACUUCCACCCAAAAAGCAUUCAUAAACUAAUGCACGAUAUGUUUGUUCAUAUUAUAACACUGCUAACAUGCAUCAUGGAAACCUGAAACUCGGCAGAAAAUAACACAUCAGUUACGUCCGAGUAUAGCCAGAUCGAUUAUCUUCUCAAACGGCAGAACGCGCCGGGGACAAAAAAGACGUCAACUGUCAGUACGAGUAAUUUUGAAUCGACAGCUAUCCACAAAACACAAUUACAAGUCUCCAACGGAAUAAAUCAUACUGAAUUUAAUAAAGUUCGGACAUUAGUGUAUUUAUACAAUUUACAGUAAAAUUCAGUUUGUUCUGACUUAACAUUGAACCAUAUACUGUAUAUUAACAAAACAUCAAAUGCUUCAUAAGCAAUCUUUAUAGGAAAUAAUACAUCAAAUAGUUAUGGUUUUUUAUUAUUUUUUUAAGGUUUAGCCUAAAUUUUAAUGGUCAAAAAAAGAAACAAUUGUGGAAUUCAUUAUUUUCAAAUUUUUGUUGAUGUGAGUUUGAAGAAACAUAAAAACCCAACUUAAAUAUAUUUUUCUCAAAUAUAAUAAUACAUAAAUAUAUAACCUAACAUGUUAUUUAUAAAUAUUAAACAGUAACAAUUAAUAUCAUAUUUUUAUGCUACUUGCAUUUUUCUUAAAAAAAAUAAUAAAUUGGCUUUUCUUUUUCAAACUGUUUAAAUUAUAAAAUUAAGAAGAAAUGUAUUAAAAAUCUAUUAAAUUCAAGAAACGAAAAUAUUGUGAACAAAAUAAUUAUAUUUUUAUAAAUUAUUUUGAUAUAGUAACAAAUAUAUAAUUUCUAAAAAAUAGUAAAAUUUGCAGUAAAAAUAGUGAAAACUAUAAUUUAAAUAAAUUAAAAAUUAAAGUAUAUUUAUAUUAUUUUGUUCAUUUGCUUACCCGCCCGUAGGGCGGGUCCGACCCUAGUUAAGAUAAUAUUCUAGAUUUAUAGAAUUAUGUGAAUGUACAAGAUUAAUGAUACAAAUUUUUAAAAGAACGAGGACAAAAAUGU
Long non-coding RNA from Brassica rapa (field mustard), 2324 nucleotides. RefSeq lists it as uncharacterized. The record is from RefSeq and is a predicted model, not a curated record. NCBI's taxonomy places the organism in Eukaryota, Viridiplantae, Streptophyta, Magnoliopsida, Brassicales, Brassicaceae.